RNAcentral lists this ribosomal RNA (256 nucleotides) under uncultured soil bacterium. RNAcentral describes it as "partial 16S ribosomal RNA". It matches the Rfam family "Bacterial small subunit ribosomal RNA", at positions 26 to 285 of the family's 1533-position model. The record is from RNAcentral.
AGGACGAACGCUGGCGGCGUGCUUAACACAUGCAAGUCGAGCGGUAAGGCCCUUUCGGGGUACACGAGCGGCGAACGGGUGAGUAACACGUGGGUAACCUGCCCUCAGCUCUGGGAUAAGCCCGGGAAACUGGGUCUAAUACCGGAUAUGACUCCGCAUCGCAUGGUGUGGGGUGGAAAGCCUUGUGCGGCUGAGGAUGGGCCCGCGGCCUAUCAGCUUGUUGGUGGGUAGUGGCCUACCAAGGCGACGACGGGUA